CCCCGGAGAAGAGAGUUGGUGUUAAGAGUCAGGGAUCUUGGCUGUGUGUCUGCGGAUCUGUAGUGGCGGCGGCGGCGGGGAGGCAGCAGGCGCGGGAGCGGGCGCAGGAGCAGGCGGCGGCGGUGGCGGCGGCGGUUAGACAUGAACGCCGCCUCGGCGCCGGCGGUGCACGGAGAGCCCCUUCUCGCGCGCGGGCGGUUUGUGUGAUUUUGCUAAAAUGCAUCACCAACAGCGAAUGGCUGCCUUAGGGACGGACAAAGAGCUGAGUGAUUUACUGGAUUUCAGUGCGAUGUUUUCACCUCCUGUGAGCAGUGGGAAAAAUGGACCAACUUCUUUGGCAAGUGGACAUUUUACUGGCUCAAGCUUGUGGCUAUACACUAGGAAGCAGACGAAGAGAGAACCUGAAGAUACCUCCUGAUGCCCAAACCUAGGAAAGGGAAAAAUGCAGAAGAACUCAGACGACUCUUGGAAAUGAUUCUUGCCUCAAUUAAAAAGACCUCACCACUCACCUCCAUGUAAAGGACAGGUCGUGAAUUAUUCAAAUGAUUCAGAAAUCAACAUUUAAAAAAACGAACAUAAAUUCCUUUUCAUAAUUAAAGAGCGGUGUAAAAUGGCUCUUUUCUUAGGUCUAGAUUAUAUUGCUGUUAAAGGAAUUGCUGCCUAGUAUACAAUUUUUUGACGUUGUUUUCUACAACAUCAAUCUUAUUUGUUGUCCUUUUUUGUCAUGCCUGUUAAAUGUGUAUUUUUCUGUGUUGAUAUUGAAACUAAUGUACAAAGUGUGACAUCUCCAAAAACUG
This 797-nucleotide small RNA is filed under the name Pan troglodytes (chimpanzee). Its description in RNAcentral is "processed transcript". Lineage: Eukaryota; Metazoa; Chordata; Mammalia; Primates; Hominidae. The record is from RNAcentral.